UUAAGCGACUAAGCGUACACGGUGGAUGCCCUGGCAGUCAGAGGCGAUGAAGGGCGUGCUAAUCUGCGAUAAGCGCCGGUAAGGUGAUAUGAACCGUUAUAACCGGCGAUACCCGAAUGGGGAAACCCAGUGUGAUUCGUCACACUAUCAUUAACUGAAUCCAUAGGUUAAUGAGGCGAACCGGGGGAACUGAAACAUCUAAGUACCCCGAGGAAAAGAAAUCAACCGAGAUUCCCCCAGUAGCGGCGAGCGAACGGGGAGGAGCCCAGAGCCUGAAUCAGCAUGUGUGUUAGUGGAAGCGUCUGGAAAGGCGCGCGAUACAGGGUGACAGCCCCGUACACAAAAGCGCAUGUGCUGUGAGCUCGAUGAGUAGGGCGGGACACGUGGUAUCCUGUCUGAAUAUGGGGGGACCAUCCUCCAAGGCUAAAUACUCCUGACUGACCGAUAGUGAACCAGUACCGUGAGGGAAAGGCGAAAAGAACCCCGGCGAGGGGAGUGAAAAAGAACCUGAAACCGUGUACGUACAAGCAGUGGGAGCACAGGUUUACCUGUGUGACUGCGUACCUUUUGUAUAAUGGGUCAGCGACUUAUAUUCUGUAGCAAGGUUAACCGAAUAGGGGAGCCGGAGGGAAACCGAGUCUUAAUUGGGCGUUAAGUUGCAGGGUAUAGACCCGAAACCCGGUGAUCUAGCCAUGGGCAGGUUGAAGGUUGGGUAACACUAACUGGAGGACCGAACCGACUAAUGUUGAAAAAUUAGCGGAUGACCUGUGGCUGGGGGUGAAAGGCCAAUCAAACCGGGAGAUAGCUGGUUCUCCCCGAAAGCUAUUUAGGUAGCGCCUCGUGAAUUCAUCUCCGGGGGUAGAGCACUGUUUCGGCUAGGGGGCCAUCCCGGCUUACCAACCCGAUGCAAACUGCGAAUACCGGAGAAUGUUAUCACGGGAGACACACGGCGGGUGCUAACGUCCGUCGUGAAGAGGGAAACAACCCAGACCGCCAGCUAAGGUCCCAAAGUCAUGGUUAAGUGGGAAACGAUGUGGGAAGGCCCAGACAGCCAGGAUGUUGGCUUAGAAGCAGCCAUCAUUUAAAGAAAGCGUAAUAGCUCACUGGUCGAGUCGGCCUGCGCGGAAGAUGUAACGGGGCUAAACCAUGCACCGAAGCUGCGGCAGCGAACGUAUCACCCAAGACAACUUUACGGAGUUGACGAUUGACGGAGCGAAGCGACGUCAAAGCGUUCAUUAAAGUCGAGUUGGCUUAGGGAUACGUUCGUUGGGUAGGGGAGCGUUCUGUAAGCCUGUGAAGGUGUGUCGUGAGGCAUGCUGGAGGUAUCAGAAGUGCGAAUGCUGACAUAAGUAACGAUAAAGCGGGUGAAAAGCCCGCUCGCCGGAAGACCAAGGGUUCCUGUCCAACGUUAAUCGGGGCAGGGUGAGUCGACCCCUAAGGCGAGGCCGAAAGGCGUAGUCGAUGGGAAACGGGUUAAUAUUCCCGUACUUGGUGUUACUGCGAAGGGGGGACGGAGAAGGCUAUGUUGGCCGGGCGACGGUUGUCCCGGUUUAAGCGUGUAGGUGUGUGUUCCAGGUAAAUCCGGUUCACUUUAACACUGAGGCGUGACGACGAGGCACUACGGUGCUGAAGCAACAAAUGCCCUGCUUCCAGGAAAAGCCUCUAAGCAUCAGGUAACACGAAAUCGUACCCCAAACCGACACAGGUGGUCAGGUAGAGAAUACCAAGGCGCUUGAGAGAACUCGGGUGAAGGAACUAGGCAAAAUGGUGCCGUAACUUCGGGAGAAGGCACGCUGACACGUAGGUGAAGUGAUUUACUCAUGGAGCUGAAGUCAGUCGAAGAUACCAGCUGGCUGCAACUGUUUAUUAAAAACACAGCACUGUGCAAACACGAAAGUGGACGUAUACGGUGUGACGCCUGCCCGGUGCCGGAAGGUUAAUUGAUGGGGUCAGCGUAAGCGAAGCUCCUGAUCGAAGCCCCGGUAAACGGCGGCCGUAACUAUAACGGUCCUAAGGUAGCGAAAUUCCUUGUCGGGUAAGUUCCGACCUGCACGAAUGGCGUAAUGAUGGCCAGGCUGUCUCCACCCGAGACUCAGUGAAAUUGAACUCGCUGUGAAGAUGCAGUGUACCCGCGGCAAGACGGAAAGACCCCGUGAACCUUUACUAUAGCUUGACACUGAACAUUGAGCCUUGAUGUGUAGGAUAGGUGGGAGGCUUUGAAGUGUGGACGCCAGUCUGCAUGGAGCCGACCUUGAAAUACCACCCUUUAAUGUUUGAUGUUCUAACGUGGACCCGUAAUCCGGGUUGCGGACAGUGUCUGGUGGGUAGUUUGACUGGGGCGGUCUCCUCCUAAAGAGUAACGGAGGAGCACGAAGGUUGGCUAAUCCUGGUCGGACAUCAGGAGGUUAGUGCAAUGGCAUAAGCCAGCUUGACUGCGAGCGUGACGGCGCGAGCAGGUGCGAAAGCAGGUCAUAGUGAUCCGGUGGUUCUGAAUGGAAGGGCCAUCGCUCAACGGAUAAAAGGUACUCCGGGGAUAACAGGCUGAUACCGCCCAAGAGUUCAUAUCGACGGCGGUGUUUGGCACCUCGAUGUCGGCUCAUCACAUCCUGGGGCUGAAGUAGGUCCCAAGGGUAUGGCUGUUCGCCAUUUAAAGUGGUACGCGAGCUGGGUUUAGAACGUCGUGAGACAGUUCGGUCCCUAUCUGCCGUGGGCGCUGGAGAACUGAGGGGGGCUGCUCCUAGUACGAGAGGACCGGAGUGGACGCAUCACUGGUGUUCGGGUUGUCAUGCCAAUGGCACUGCCCGGUAGCUAAAUGCGGAAGAGAUAAGUGCUGAAAGCAUCUAAGCACGAAACUUGCCCCGAGAUGAGUUCUCCCUGAGACUUAGAGUCUCCUGAAGGAACGUUGAAGACGACGACGUUGAUAGGCCGGGUGUGUAAGCGCAGCGAUGCGUUGAGCUAACCGGUACUAAUGAACCGUGAGGCUUAACCU
This 2989-nucleotide ribosomal RNA is filed under the name Salmonella enterica subsp. enterica serovar 4,[5],12:i:-. RNAcentral's name for it is "23S ribosomal RNA". It matches the Rfam family "Bacterial large subunit ribosomal RNA". The record is from RNAcentral. Lineage: Bacteria; Pseudomonadati; Pseudomonadota; Gammaproteobacteria; Enterobacterales; Enterobacteriaceae.